UUAAAAAGCUCGUAGUUGGAUUUCUGGCGGGGACCCAAGUACCCCUGGUGGGUGUGCGCGGGCCCGGCCAUCCUUCUGUCAACUUUCGCGCGUCCUUCACCGGUCGGCAAAGGGAUCAGAUAAUUUACCUUGAGAAAAUUAGAGUGUUUCAGGCAGGCUUAGCCGGAAUACAUUAGCAUGGAAUAAUGGAAUAGGACUGAGGUCUCGUUGUUGGUUACGCGGACUCCAGUAAUGAUUAAUAGGGACAGUUGGGGGCAUUAGUAUUUAUUAGCUAGAGGUGGAAUUCUCUAAUUUGAUAAAGACUAACUUAUGCGAAAGCAUUUGCCAAGGAUGUUUUCAUUAAUCAAGAACGAAAGUUAGGGGAUCAAAGACGAUCAGAUACCGUCCUAGUCUUAACCAUAAACUAUGCCGACUCGGGAUCGGGAGCGUGUGUUAUCCGCUUUCGGCACCGUAUGAGAAAUCAAAGUCUUUGGGUUAUGGGGGGAGUAUGGUCGCAAGGCUGAAACUUAAAGGAAUUGACGGAAGGGCACCACCAGGCGUGGAGCUUGCGGCUCAAUUUGACU
This 563-nucleotide ribosomal RNA is filed under the name uncultured marine eukaryote. RNAcentral's name for it is "SSU rRNA". It matches the Rfam family "Eukaryotic small subunit ribosomal RNA", at positions 619 to 1200 of the family's 1831-position model. The record is from RNAcentral.